This 206-nucleotide ribosomal RNA is filed under the name uncultured bacterium. RNAcentral's name for it is "partial 16S ribosomal RNA". It matches the Rfam family "Bacterial small subunit ribosomal RNA", at positions 1287 to 1500 of the family's 1533-position model. The record is from RNAcentral.
CUCAGUUCGGAUCGGAGUCUGCAACCCGACUCCGUGAAGCUGGAUUCGCUAGUAAUCGCGCAUCAGCCAUGGCGCGGUGAAUACGUUCCCGGGCCUUGUACACACCGCCCGUCAAGCCAUGGGAGCCGGGAGCGCUUGAAGUGCGUCGCCGCGAGGCGCGCCCUAGAGCGAGACCGGUGACUGGGGCUAAGUCGUAACAAGGUAGC